CCCCUGGGGCGGUUGGUGCGCCGUGAGGUGCCCGGAGGCUGCGGUCCAGCCGGCCCACCCCGGGGCAGGGCUCUAGCUGUCGUGCGGGAGCCCCGCGUACCACAGUAGCGAGGGCAAAGCCUGCACCGACUGCUUUGUCGUCUGUUUAUCCCUGCCCUUGUCCCUCCAGAAUGCACGUGUGCAGCCCCGAGGCCUGCAAGCCGUGCGGGGCCUCUCUGGGCACAGCUGUGGCACGUGCUGAUUGAAGGGCUAUCGCAGCGGGUACUCCAACAAGUCCCCACAGUGUCAGGCUGAGGACUGGAAAGCCUGUUAUCAGCAGUAGAACGUUUCCUGUGAAAGCAAAGACUUCCUCUUCAACCUCUGUCCCACAAAAGUGUCUGAAGGAAAUGAUAUAAAACCCUGUCAAAAGAUUGAACUUCUAUUUCUAGCUUUAUGAGACAUUCAAACUAACUAACGAAAACCAACUAGCAUUUUGGUUUCCCAACACUUUCCCCUCCACUCCCACUGUUACACAAGAAUGGGAUCUUAGGACUAAGUGCCCUGUGGCCCACCGGAUUGCUGAAGUCAUUUGAAAACAAAUACGGAUUUGAAUGAUAUGUGAUGUGGCCAAAUAUCUAUCUUGAAACCAUUCUCAUCAGUACGUUUUUGAGGGAACACGUACACAGAUUGAAAGAAUGGAGAAGAUAACAAGAGACAAGAAACUGUGAAGAAUAUGACAUCCUAGGAAAAUGAUGAUGCGUAACUACUCAAUGGGAAAAAACAGCCCUGGCCACAGGAGAAGCAGCUUAGUAUGAAGACCCAAGUGUUCAAACAGCAAGCAGAUAACAGUGACAGACACAUCGCUGAAAACUGGAACUCUCUGAUACUGCUAAGAGCGCUGGAGUUCAGUUUGACUCUGCUUCCCAGAUACAGCCGACCUCAGAGACAACACAUUUGUCUUUAUCUGGACUAAGAAUCUUUUCCCCUUAUGACAAAAAAUGACAUCAACCUCAACAUAUCUUACUAAGAACAGCUUCAAGUCCAAGAAGACGUGCCUUUGUAAAGAGAGGUUGCUAUGGUGCUGUAUGCAGUGUCUGGAAAUCAGAAUUGGUGAAGAUAUAUUGUAGCUAAAAGAGACAAGAUCUCACAUGGUUCAUCAUUACUUCUUGUCAGUAAGUCAGCUUGGGGUUGCAGAAUGAAGGAGAAGCUUCAGCCUUAGAAACUCAGAGCUGCUAAUGAUAAAUUGCAAUCUGCCACGUGCUUCUUGUACAGGAUAGACAGUUGUGGCAACAAAAGACAAAGAAAGGCUAGAAAAACUGCAGCAGAUGUUUGUGCCUUGCACUGGUGUGGACAUGGAAGGAGUCAUGACAACACACAGCUAGUACUGAGGCAGAUCACAACAGUGUCUUCUACAGUAGAACUGGGACUUGAUGAGGACCUAAGUACAUUCAUCUCCCAUUCCUGCAAGUGAGUGAUGAAGGAAGUACAGAGAUCUGUAAAGAACAAGACAGUGGCAGAAACGAGGAACUAAGGAGUCAGCCGAGCAGGAUCAUGGGCUGCAGACACAUUGAGGAGCAGCUGAGAGAAGUACCUGGAGCUGGGGCUGUCUUUGUGUUCCCUGUCAGCCUGGGCAACUCCUGAGAUCCUGGCACCUCUGGUGCUGGGAAGAUGCCAGCCUGCACAGUGCCGUGACAGGUCAACAGCAAAGAUACUGCUCAGGACUGUACAUGGGAUGACAAAAAACAGAGUGGUAUA
Molecule: long non-coding RNA, 1734 nt
Organism: Gallus gallus (chicken)
Lineage: Eukaryota; Metazoa; Chordata; Aves; Galliformes; Phasianidae
Exons: 7
Source: RefSeq, a predicted model, not a curated record